Molecule: long non-coding RNA, 256 nt
Filed under: Eucalyptus grandis
Lineage: Eukaryota; Viridiplantae; Streptophyta; Magnoliopsida; Myrtales; Myrtaceae
Description: long non-coding RNA (EGRA_LNC007283)
Source: RNAcentral
CGGCAGCAGCGGCACCGAGCUCGCCGAGCUGCUGGAGGUGCUUGUGGUGCUUCUCCUCCUUCCUGUAAUCGACCGUAGGCUCCGUGAAGAUGACCCCAGGCUCUGUGAAGGCAUCAUCCUUCUUGUGGUGGCUGCGGUGGUGGUUGUGGUGGUGGUGAUGGUGGUGUCCUUCGGCCAUGGUUGGUGGUUGUUUUUUUUUUUGAGGAAUACUAGAAUUGACGAAGGAUCAGUGAAAGGACUAUAGCUGAAGUGUAUG